CAGCCGCGGUAAUACCUAGGGUGCAGGCGUUAAUCGGAAUUACUGGGCGUAAAGCGUGCGCAGGCGGUUUGCUAAGACAGGUGUGAAAUCCCCGGGCUUAACCUGGGAAUUGCGCUUGUAACUGGCAAGCUAGAGUGUGGCAAAAGGGGGUGGAAUUCCACGUGUAGCAGUGAAAUGCGUAAAUAUGUGGAGGAACACCGAUGGCGAAGGCCGCCCCCUGGGUUAACACUGACGCUCAUGCACGAAAGCGUGGGGAGCAAACAGGAUUAAAUACCCUGGUAGUCCACGCCCUAAACUAUGUCAACUAGUUGUCGGGGAAGAAAUUCCUUGGUAACGAAGCUAACGCGUGAAGUUGACCGCCUGGGGAGUACGGCCGCAAGGUUAAAACUCAAAGGAAUUGACGGGGACCCGCACAAGCGGUGGAUUAUGUGGAUUAAUUCGAUGCAACGCGAAAAACCUUACCUACCCUUGACAUGCCAGGAAGCCCGCAAAGAUGUGGGUGUGCCCGAAAGGGAACCUGGACACAGGUGCUGCAUGGCUGUCGUCAGCUCGUGUCGUGAGAUGUUGGGUUAAGUCCCGCAACGAGCGCAACCCUUGCCAUUAGUUGCUACAUUCAGUUGGGCACUCUAAUGGGACCGCCGGUGACAAACCGGAGGAAGGUGGGGAUGACGUCAAGUCCUCAUGGCCCUUAUGGGUAGGGCUUCACACGUAAUACAAUGGUCGGUACAGAGGGCUGCCAACCCGCAAGGGGGAGCUAAUCCCAGAAAGCCGAUCGUAGUCCGGAUUGUAGUCUGCAACUCGACUGCAUGAAGCCGGAAUCGCUAGUAAUCGCGGAUCAGCAUGUCGCGGUGAAUACGUUCCCGGGUCUUGU
This 871-nucleotide ribosomal RNA is filed under the name uncultured beta proteobacterium. RNAcentral's name for it is "bacterial SSU rRNA". It matches the Rfam family "Bacterial small subunit ribosomal RNA", at positions 512 to 1384 of the family's 1533-position model. Lineage: Bacteria; Pseudomonadati; Pseudomonadota; Betaproteobacteria. The record is from RNAcentral.